RNAcentral lists this transfer RNA (143 nucleotides) under Ramalina farinacea. It matches the Rfam family "tRNA". From Rfam's summary of the family: Transfer RNA (tRNA) molecules are approximately 80 nucleotides in length. Their secondary structure includes four short double-helical elements and three loops (D, anti-codon, and T loops). Lineage: Eukaryota; Fungi; Ascomycota; Lecanoromycetes; Lecanorales; Ramalinaceae. The record is from Rfam by way of RNAcentral.
GUCUCAGUAGUGUAGUGGUUAACACGCCAGCAUCAAGCAGAGAGGAAAGAGGGAAGCCUCUGGGGUCAAUAGACUCCGGCGACGAACUCUAUAGUCCUGGCUUCGGCUGCUGGAGAUCCUGGGUUCGAAUCCCAGCUGAGACG